UGGGCAGUAGCUUAGUGGUAGAGCGGUUUUUUAAUAUGCGGAAAGACCUGGGUUCAAUUCCCGGCUGCUUCC
Molecule: transfer RNA, 72 nt
Filed under: Toxocara canis (dog roundworm)
Lineage: Eukaryota; Metazoa; Nematoda; Chromadorea; Rhabditida; Toxocaridae
Rfam family: tRNA
About the family: Transfer RNA (tRNA) molecules are approximately 80 nucleotides in length. Their secondary structure includes four short double-helical elements and three loops (D, anti-codon, and T loops). Further hydrogen bonds mediate the characteristic L-shaped molecular structure. tRNAs have two regions of fundamental functional importance: the anti-codon, which is responsible for specific mRNA codon recognition, and the 3' end, to which the tRNAs corresponding amino acid is attached (by aminoacyl-tRNA synthetases). tRNAs cope with the degeneracy of the genetic code in two manners: having more than one tRNA (with a specific anti-codon) for a particular amino acid; and 'wobble' base-pairing, i.e. permitting non-standard base-pairing at the 3rd anti-codon position.
Source: Rfam by way of RNAcentral